Molecule: ribosomal RNA, 478 nt
Filed under: uncultured bacterium
Lineage: Bacteria
Description: partial 16S ribosomal RNA
Rfam family: Bacterial small subunit ribosomal RNA
Source: RNAcentral
GACGAACGCUGGCGGCGUGCUUAACACAUGCAAGUCGAACGGUAAGGCCCUUCGGGGUACACGAGUGGCGAACGGGUGAGUAACACGUGGGUGAUCUGCCCUGCACUUCGGGAUAAGCCUGGGAAACUGGGUCUAAUACCGGAUAGGACUCCGGACUGCAUGGUCUGGGGUGGAAAGCUUUUGCGGUGUGGGAUGGGCGCGCGGCCUAUCAGCUUGUUGGUGGGGUGACGGCCCCCCAAGGCGACGACGGGUAGCCGGCCUGAGGGGGUGACCGGCCACACAGGGACUGAGAUACGGCCCAGGCUCCUACGGGAGGCAGCAGUGGGGAAUAUUGCACAAUGGGCGCAAGCCUGAUGCAGCGACGCCGCGUGAGGGAUGACGGCCUUCGGGUUGUAAACCUCUUUCAGCAUCGACGAAGCGAAAGUGACGGUAGGUGCAGAAGAAGGACCGGCCAACUACGUGCCAGCCGCCGCCGUAA